This 6378-nucleotide long non-coding RNA is filed under the name Gallus gallus (chicken). Its description in RNAcentral is "lncRNA (ENSGALG00010015539.1)". Lineage: Eukaryota; Metazoa; Chordata; Aves; Galliformes; Phasianidae. The record is from RNAcentral.
AAAAGUCCAAGUGUAGCAUGCAUGAAUUCCUUCCAGAGUUGGACAGGCUUGCUUCAACAAUUUGUGAUGUUUAAAAGCCAUUAAAUUACUUAGCCAUCUGCUGUUAAUAAUGGGAAACUUCUGAUAGAGCUGAAGGUCUGAACAAUGGGAAUGAAUUGUUGAUUGUCCUUAAAGUGCAGUAGGCUUUGUUGUAAUCAUGAAACUGCAGUCUAUAAAUAUUUUAAGUAUCUUAAAAGUGUAUUUCUAACUCUCCCUUCUGUGGGCUUCUGAAUGCAGCACUCGUGUAAAUGAAAUGCAAUGUGAGAGGAUCUGAUUUAAUCCCUACUGGCUUCAAUGUGCCUACUGAGUUUGGAGGCUAGAAGCAACGCUAGAAAUUAUGUUAACAGGAGUGGCACGUAGCUGACCUGCAUGGUAUUCACCAAUAGGCAGGAGCACAUUCUCCCCCAAGUUAAUAAUUUCUUAUCCCUUGGAUGACUCUGUAAAUACAUGUGCAGUACAGCUGGAGCUACAGAAGUACUAAAACAGGAAAAAAUUAGAAAUGUUCUUCUACCAUAUUUUUCUCUGAAUCUGUGCUCCUCGUUGUAGGAGUGAUUUAGAGAUGACCACAUGACAAAGCACGCAGCACAUGAGGAUGCUGAUUUUUUUUUUUGUCUCCUCUCCCCUCCUCACUUCAAUAGGGACCAGCUUUCUCUUUUACAGUGAUGUUGGACAGUUAAUACACGGAAAAAUGCAGUGGAUAUCAGACACAAGAUCAUUCCCACGUCCAGCUGACAGCUUAGUGCCAGAAAUGCAGUGCUACUCAAUAGACUUUGGUGGACUUCUGCAGGCGCUGCUAAACCUGAUGGAGAUGGAGUGCACAGCAGACCGGUGUUGGCAUAGCUAAGUUCUAAGCAAGGAAAUGGACUUCUUGGAAACAGUGCUGAGGUAGUGAUGUCCGGUUUUCCCAGUUCUAACAGCUCCCAAGGUUUGCAGCUACUAGGUUUUCUGUAACGGCUUGUACUUGGAGAAUCUCUUUCAAAAUCGGUGAGCAGGGUGCUCUUGUGCUGGACUAUGAGGAGUAACUUUCUACGAGUUUUGGAACUGUGCUGAUAUGGCACUUGGCAAGCUUUACCUGGGAGCAUCUCGUGCAGAGAACAUGAAGAGCAUAUCAGAGGUUAGAGGAUAAAGAAAAGCAGAAAUAUUUGCUCUUCUCCAGAUGCCUGUGACUCACAUGCUGAUGAGUGCCUGUUCUGCUUUAGCCUCCAAUGCAUCUUUUGAGGCCUGAUGUUCCAGGGAAGUCCUUGUGCUGCAUAUAUUUGAGAUCAAAGCCAGGACCUAUCAAAUGUGAACAGGUUUGAUGACUAGAAAGACAAGAAAGCUGCUCCCGCACUUUGCUGUUCUGGUUCUGUACUUGCAGGAGGGGAAAAAAAGGAAAAGGAUGAGAAAGCAAGACUUGACUACAUGCAAUAGCAGAUAUGGCUGGAUGUAGAAGCAGAUCUGCAGAAAGCACUACACUUCAUGGAGGAUGGGACAGGAGAAUAGCCAAAGGAAGUCGAUGAGGAUGGCUGUACUGGUGAGGAACUAAGGAGCUGACAUUACUUCAUCUGAAGAGAAAAGAAGACAAAGCACUCCUUGUAUGGUUAAAAAAAAAAAGAGGCAGAAGCAUCAAAUGAAGGACUGUUUGAAUUGGAAAACUAAUGAGUAUUUCAGGUUAUUCAAAUCCACACUUACUCUAACACUGGAAGCCGUUCCAGCAGCAGCAGCACCUUGAGGAGGACAUCAGGAGGAGCCAGGAGCAGCUGGAGGAUGCCAAAUGAUGAAGAGCAUCACCCCCUUACACCUUUACAGAAAAGAAGAGCUAUGACCCAAAGAAAGAACACCUUCAGACACAAACACAGCAGAGGCCCAAGCCUCCCAAGCCUUCUGACUCCGAUACCACCGCGAUCACUGAGCUUUCCAAAGGCUUCACAUUCCUUGACACCUUUCAUGUGCCAUUCACUCCCAAAAGAGGUGAAACUAAUCCUCUGUGACUCUUGCCAGACCAAAAUUGCACAAACACUUGCUCAAAUUAAGGCCAGUUUCUCAUUAACGGGUCUAUCAAUUAACUCUUUUCAUUACCUGUGCCAGCAGCAUGAAUUAUGAAAAGAAGGCAUGAGAAGAAAUGGGGAUAAGGGCUUACAGUGCUCAAACAUAAGAUUGAAGUCUGCCAAACAUGAUGUCCACCAAAUUUUUACUGCUAAAAAGUUGAGGUCACCCAAUGAGAAAUACAGAGACAGUAAGAUGAUCAAAAUACCUCAGGAGAAGAAUGAAUGAACAAUUUGAAAAAAAGAGAGAAAAGCACUGUGCACUCCAACAACAGCAUCUUAAGUGCAAAACAUCAUUGUACAGAACUUUAUUACGAAGUGAUAAAUCAGCACGCUGAGGCUUCAUUAACUUCAGUGGAACCAGACUGAUUUAUGCCAGCUGAGUCAAUGGCUGCGUUUAUAUGUCUGCAUACGUCAAAAUUAAUCAUGUUUGGAAAAAUAGAAGAUUCUAGGAAUAUAUCCCAGAGGAGAAGAUAUAUAUACUUAUUUAUAAAUUCUACUAAUAAGGUAAUAUACACAGGACUGAAAUGGGGAGAGACCAAACAUGAAACGUGGGUAUAUAGGCUCCUUCAUUACAAAACAUAGGAAACUUGUCUUUGGUGGAGAGAAGACUGGAAAAAACAUUUCACUUUCUUCUGUGUUUUUUCUUCUUAGGUGAUACUUAGCAGGCCUUUCUACAGGACUCUGAAUGACACAGCUGUCCUCCUCCAGAGUUGAACUUCUGCCCUCCUGCAUGGCAAGAAACAGAUAUGCACGUCCUCUGUCAGCACUCUCCAUCUCCAGCAUUCAGACUCCUGCAACCUUCCCACUGGUCCACAUCCUCACGCAGUCUUCCCAGUAAGGGGAAGAGAGCUGUAGAGAAUAGAAUAACCAUGGUUACUCCUACAUCGUCAGAAUUGGAAAGUAAUGUUAUCCAUGGGCUGAAGGAAGCUCAACCCUGCAGUCCAUUCUUCAAGCUCCUUCCCUACAAAUGCAGUGGGAGAGAUGUCAUUUGGGUGCCAAUGAGUUGUGUGCAUCAUAAAGGUGAUCACAUACCAAUUUCUUUUGGGAUCCACUCUAAAGAAAUGAAAGCUCAUUUUUUUCAGUUCAGAGCAUUUGCCAGUAGAUGGUGUGAGGAAUUUCUCCAAUCGCAGUGACACCAAAUGGUGCUGACAUCUGAAAAAAAAGCAGUGUUUUAUGACAGUAGCAAGAAUUACUUCUCCUUGUGAAUCUAUAUUCUGUCAUAGAGUUUACAAUUGCGCUUGCUGAAAUGCUGUCAUUUUCAUUUAAACUAAAGGUCCUCUGCAGCAGGCAGCUCCACAAAGGGUCUCACCUCGUCAACAGCCAUUUCUUAGGAGUGUGAGAUUAGCAGAGCGGCAGCUGAAACAAAAGCUACCUGUUAAACACACUGAGGGUCAGCUACAGGAGGAUGAUGCUAGAUGCUUCAAAAACAAGGCCUCAAGGUACACAGAAUAGAUGCAGAUUAUUAUUAAGAGUGACUGCAGCCCCGGUUUUCCUAAACCUCAGCUCUAGUGUCUAAAUCUGUCUUCCCAUUCCCCUUGUAAGAUAGCCAGAGCUGCUGGACUCUCCAACUAUUCAGAAGACUUUCAAACAUUACCUCUUCAUGAACACCUGAAAAUGCAAUACCUACAGGUAGCAGGCUUGGUUUUUCAGGUUGUGCAGCAUUUGGGAACUCUCUCUUGUUUCUGGGAUUACUAGUAGUUCAGAACUAAAUCAAGCUUCUGAUUUAAGUUUCUGAUGGUUAGGGUGAACGUGAAUGACUUCACACAACUUUAAUGGAAGAUAAACAGCAAAAUGACCCAGUUUGACACAAGAAAUGAAUUGAAGUUUAAAAUGACUCAGUUUCCAAAAGUUUUAUCGUGGAAUUUCUCUUUGUUACUGUUCCUGUAUUUGAGAGAAAUGUGGCACACAUAGAAGACUAGCAGCUAUUUUGGUCAGCAGUGAUUGAAAAAAAACCCAUCUACUUUCACAGUUUUAUUAGAAAUGGUAUCCUGAGAGACUGGAUUUGUAUUCUAUGUUUUUUUUUAGGCAAGGCUGCACUAUAUCUGCAGUUUUGCUGGCAGAAUUUGCAUCAUUAAUUUAUGCAAACCAAAGGCAGUGAGGAAUCCAGAAACCAUUUUAAAAUGUGUGUAAGUCAGACAUUUAGAACUGAAACAUCCACACUCUUCCUAUAGCCUAUUGCUGCGUGACUUCUUUUCAGUUCCUUCUGGAGUGUGCCAGUAAUCUUUUCUUCUCUUUGGUAAGCCAGAGUAACCCAGUAUAUGAAAAAGUGCUUUGAAACAUCUGCUCUGAAUUUGUUUUUUAAUUAAUUAACAAGUAAAUGCUUUUCUGGUUGUGGUGAAUUAUGGCAACUUGUGUUAAAAUCAUUUACCGUGUUAAAAAAUGUAAAGACUUCGAUUAUAGCAUGAUCUUUCUCCUCAGAUAAUUUUAAGAUGAUGUAGUUUCAACCUCUGUAGUUUCUCCUCAUUUUUAUAUGUUUUUAAUAUGAGAUUCCAGUUUAUUAACAGCUGCAUCACUUUACAGUGCUAACAGAUGCUAUUAUACAACCAGGCUAUGAGAACAGACUUCAGCACGCAGGUUUCAAUUUCCUUACCCUUAGUAACAGGGCUGCAGAAACCAAGAUGUACUCCCCUCCUUCUUUCAGUAUCUAAUACUUUAAUACUUGGCACUUAAUCUUUAUUACAGACACCAGUAAAGCAGAUGAGCAAAGUUAUUGUAAAGUCUUUUCAUACAGGAUUUAUCUUCUCUCCUUCACGUCUGCAGUCUGUCAUACAUCAAUUUGUGGUCAUAAGGUACAAAAUAACAGUUUUUUACUGAAAGAAAAUAAAAUUCUUGGCUUGGUUCAGAGCAGGGUUCCAGGAUAGCUCGUUGGGUAGUAGGCUACAGGCAUUCUGCCUCUGACAGGGCUUUGCUUUGCCUUCUCGGCAUAUUCAGAGAGGUGCUAUGUGGCAGGGAAGUGUUCAGAAUGAGGGACUGGGCCUCUACCACCUGCGGUGACGUUGGGCCACUUGGGACAAAGGACUGAUCAGCAAGCACAGCAUCCAGUUCUCUUACCUGGCAGCCAAGCCCAGGGAGCACCAGCUCCAUUUGUGCUGCUGAAUGCAUUUAGCUAUUCAUUAAUUUUUCGAUUACUACAGAUGAGCACACGAGCUCUUCUUCCUCCUCAUUCCUUCACCCUCCUUGUCCCAGAAUGGCUUUUAGCUGCAAUGCCUGGAACUCAGACAAGCAGUGUCGCAUCUUUUCUUGCAGGAGAAGAGAACAAAGAUUUAUAGUGUGAGCUAUGAAAUGAUGAACGAGGGGGAAGUGAUUCCUCCUCCUGCUAUCUGGGGAAAUCUAAUCUUGCAUUUUAGACUUGGAGAGCAGUCAGUUUUUUCCAGAUCAAAUAAAAUAUUUUGUGUAGGAAUGACCUUUUUGUUUAAGCAAGGAAAAUGGAAGAAAUAUAUUUGUUUCAGACUGAACUGAUUUAGAUUUUGGUUCAUUUUUUGAUAUAACAUCGUGGUAUUGAGGAUAAAAUAUUGAGCAGUGCCGUGAAGAAGGUUAUGCUGUAGUUACCAUUCAUGGCCAAUAUACUUAAGCUGGUAACAAAUGCUAUGCAAAAUGAUAUAGUAGGAACUCAUUACUAUGCUUGUAAAAUAAUUUAUGUUUCUCCUUUUUUGCUGACUACUGCCUUCUCUCACACAAAAUCACAGAAUCACAAAAUAUCCCAAGCUGGAAGGGACCCAGAAGAAUCACUGAGUCCAACUCUGGCUCCACACAGGACCACCCAAACCCUAUGUCUCAGAGCAGUGCCCAAACGCGCCCUGAGCUCCAGGAGCCUGUUCCAUGCCCACUGCCCUCUGGUGCAGAGCCGUUACCCCAAACCAACCUGACCCUCCGCUGAGGCGGCUCCAUGCCAUUCCCUCAGGUCCUGUCACCAUUACCGGAGAGCAGAGCUCCGUGCUGCCCCUCUGCUCGCAGUGAGGAGCUGUGGGAUGCCAUGAGAGAGCUUUUCUCUGGGCUGAACAAACCAAGGGACCUCAGCUGCUCCCCUCCACCCCUUGCCCUCCUCAGCAGCACGAGUUAUGAAAAGGAGGCAUGGAUUACAUCUUACAGCCAACACUGCUGCACCAGACCUGAUAGAAAAUUGUUCAUAGUUCAGCGAGAAGCCGUUUAAAAGUCAGUCCUGGCUCCCCAGAUGCUAUAAACAUCCAUUUUGAUCAGUUAGAAAACCUGGUUGCUUUUAGUAAAAGCACAAGCAGGGAUGAUUUUGUUUUGAUUGUUUAACGCUGUUGAUGUUGCAAAUAGGUAUGUCAGCAUUUGAAAGAUGGUCCUAAGG